Molecule: ribosomal RNA, 602 nt
Filed under: Paenibacillus ruminocola
Lineage: Bacteria; Bacillati; Bacillota; Bacilli; Caryophanales; Paenibacillaceae
Description: bacterial SSU rRNA
Rfam family: Bacterial small subunit ribosomal RNA
Source: RNAcentral
CUUCGCAUGAGGGGAUCUGGAAAGACGGCGCAAGCUGUCACCGAUGGAUGGGCCUGCGGCGCAUUAGCUGGUUGGUGGGGUAACGGCUCACCAAGGCGACGAUGCGUAGCCGACCUGAGAGGGUGAUCGGCCACACUGGGACUGAGACACGGCCCAGACUCCUACGGGAGGCAGAAGUAGGGAAUCUUCGGCAAUGGGCGAAAGCCUGACCGAGCAACGCCGCGUGAGUGAUGAAGGCUUUCGGGUCGUAAAACUCUGUUGCCAGAGAAGAACGGUAGGUAGAGUAACUGCUAUCUAUGUGACGGUAUCUGAGAAGAAAGCCCCGGCUAACUACGUGCCAGCAGCCGCGGUAAUACGUAGGGGGCAAGCGUUGUCCGGAAUUAUUGGGCGUAAAGCGCGCGCAGGCGGUUGUUUAAGUCUGGGGUUUAAGUUCGGGGCUCAACCCCGUAUCGCCCUGGAAACUGGGGAACUGGAGUGUAGGAGAGGAAAGUGGAAUUCCACGUGUAGCGGUGAAAUGCGUAGAGAUGUGGAGGAACACCAGUGGCGAAGGCGACUUUCUGGCCUAUAACUGACGCUGAGGCGCGAAAGCGUGGGGGAGCAAA